This 525-nucleotide ribosomal RNA is filed under the name Pseudomonas sp. SA064. Its description in RNAcentral is "bacterial SSU rRNA". It matches the Rfam family "Bacterial small subunit ribosomal RNA", at positions 88 to 609 of the family's 1533-position model. Lineage: Bacteria; Pseudomonadati; Pseudomonadota; Gammaproteobacteria; Pseudomonadales; Pseudomonadaceae. The record is from RNAcentral.
CUUGAGAGCGGCGGACGGGUGAGUAAUGCCUAGGAAUCUGCCUGGUAGUGGGGGAUAACGCUCGGAAACGGACGCUAAUACCGCAUACGUCCUACGGGAGAAAGCAGGGGACCUUCGGGCCUUGCGCUAUCAGAUGAGCCUAGGUCGGAUUAGCUAGUUGGUGGGGUAAUGGCUCACCAAGGCGACGAUCCGUAACUGGUCUGAGAGGAUGAUCAGUCACACUGGAACUGAGACACGGUCCAGACUCCUACGGGAGGCAGCAGUGGGGAAUAUUGGACAAUGGGCGAAAGCCUGAUCCAGCCAUGCCGCGUGUGUGAAGAAGGUCUUCGGAUUGUAAAGCACUUUAAGUUGGGAGGAAGGGCAGUAACCUAAUACGUUGCUGUCUUGACGUUACCGACAGAAUAAGCACCGGCUAACUCUGUGCCAGCAGCCGCGGUAAUACAGAGGGUGCAAGCGUUAAUCGGAAUUACUGGGCGUAAAGCGCGCGUAGGUGGUUUGUUAAGUUGGAUGUGAAAUCCCCGGGCU